UAAAACCUGCAAGAUUUUCUUACAUCACCUGAAUGCAACUCAGACACUUUACUUAAAUUAAGGCUUU
Molecule: transfer RNA, 67 nt
Filed under: Calotes calotes
Lineage: Eukaryota; Metazoa; Chordata; Lepidosauria; Squamata; Agamidae
Description: tRNA-Ala
Source: RNAcentral